Molecule: non-coding RNA, 359 nt
Organism: Dipodomys ordii (Ord's kangaroo rat)
Lineage: Eukaryota; Metazoa; Chordata; Mammalia; Rodentia; Heteromyidae
Source: the annotation of a RefSeq genome assembly
UGACCUGAGCUCUGUGAGCUGAUUCCACCAGUGACUGAGCACAGACCACCACCAUGGAGCUGGGGCUGCGCUGGGUUCUCCUUGUUGCUCUGUUGAAAGGUGUGCAGUGUGAGGUGCAGGUGGUGGAGUCUGGCGGAGGCUUGGUGCAGCCUGGGGGGUCCCUGAGACUCUCCUGUGCAGUCUCUGGAUUCACCUUCAGUAAUUCCUGGAUGAGCUGGAUCCGCCAGGCUCCAGGGAAGGAACUGGACUGGGUAGAAGAAAUUAAUACAGAUGGUGGUAGCACAUGGUACGCAGACCCUGUGAAGGGCCAGUUCACCUUCUCCAGAGACAACAGUAAAACACGCUGUACCUGCAAAUGA